UUAAGUUAGAAAGGGCGCACGGUGGAUGCCUUGGCACUAGGAGCCGAUGAAGGACGGGACGAACACCGAUAUGCUUCGGGGAGCUGUAAGCAAGCUUUGAUCCGGAGAUUUCCGAAUGGGGAAACCCACCACUCGUAAUGGAGUGGUAUCCAUAUCUGAAUACAUAGGAUAUGAGAAGGCAGACCCGGGGAACUGAAACAUCUAAGUACCCGGAGGAAGAGAAAGCAAAUGCGAUUCCCUGAGUAGCGGCGAGCGAAACGGGAUCAGCCCAAACCAAGAGGCUUGCCUCUUGGGGUUGUAGGACACUCUGUACGGAGUUACAAAGGAACGAGGUAGAUGAAGAGGUCUGGAAAGGCCCGCCAUAGGAGGUAACAGCCCUGUAGUCAAAACUUCGUUCUCUCCUGAGUGGAUCCUGAGUACGGCGGAACACGUGAAAUUCCGUCGGAAUCCGGGAGGACCAUCUCCCAAGGCUAAAUACUCCCUAGUGACCGAUAGUGAACCAGUACCGUGAGGGAAAGGUGAAAAGCACCCCGGAAGGGGAGUGAAAGAGAUCCUGAAACCGUGUGCCUACAAGUAGUCAGAGCCCGUUAACGGGUGAUGGCGUGCCUUUUGUAGAAUGAACCGGCGAGUUACGAUCCCGUGCAAGGUUAAGCAGAAGAUGCGGAGCCGCAGCGAAAGCGAGUCUGAAUAGGGCGAAUUGAGUACGUGGUCGUAGACCCGAAACCAGGUGAUCUACCCAUGUCCAGGGUGAAGUUCAGGUAACACUGAAUGGAGGCCCGAACCCACGCACGUUGAAAAGUGCGGGGAUGAGGUGUGGGUAGGGGUGAAAUGCCAAUCGAACCUGGAGAUAGCUGGUUCUCUCCGAAAUAGCUUUAGGGCUAGCCUCAAGGUAAGAGUCUCGGAGGUAGAGCACUGAUUGGACUAGGGGCCCCUACCGGGUUACCGAAUUCAGUCAAACUCCGAAUGCCGAUGACUUAUCCUUGGGAGUCAGACUGCGAGUGAUAAGAUCCGUAGUCGAAAGGGAAACAGCCCAGACCGCCAGCUAAGGUCCCAAAGUAUACGUUAAGUGGAAAAGGAUGUGGAGUUGCUUAGACAACCAGGAUGUUGGCUUAGAAGCAGCCACCAUUUAAAGAGUGCGUAAUAGCUCACUGGUCGAGUGACUCUGCGCCGAAAAUGUACCGGGGCUAAACGUAUCACCGAAGCUGCGGACUGUUCUUCGAACAGUGGUAGGAGAGCGUUCUAAGGGCUGUGAAGCAAGACCGGAAGGACUUGUGGAGCGCUUAGAAGUGAGAAUGCCGGUAUGAGUAGCGAAAGAGGGGUGAGAAUCCCCUCCACCAAAUGCCUAAGGUUUCCUGAGGAAGGCUCGUCCGCUCAGGGUUAGUCGGGACCUAAGCCGAGGCCGAAAGGCGUAGGCGAUGGAUAACAGGUUGAUAUUCCUGUACCACCUCCUCACCAUUUGAGCAAUGGGGGGACGCAGGAGGAUAGGGUAAGCGCGGUAUUGGAUAUCCGCGUCCAAGCAGUUAGGCUGGGAAAUAGGCAAAUCCGUUUCCCGUGAAGGCUGAGCUGUGAUGGCGAGCGAAUUAUAGUAGCGAAGUUCCUGAUUCCACACUGCCAAGAAAAGCCUCUAGCGAGGUGAGAGGUGCCCGUACCGCAAACCGACACAGGUAGGCGAGGAGAGAAUCCUAAGGUGAUCGAGAGAACUCUCGUUAAGGAACUCGGCAAAAUGACCCCGUAACUUCGGGAGAAGGGGUGCUCUGUUAGGGUGCAAGCCCGAGAGAGCCGCAGUGAAUAGGCCCAGGCGACUGUUUAGCAAAAACACAGGUCUCUGCGAAGCCGUAAGGCGAAGUAUAGGGGCUGACGCCUGCCCGGUGCUGGAAGGUUAAGAGGAGCGCUUAGCGUAAGCGAAGGUGCGAAUUGAAGCCCCAGUAAACGGCGGCCGUAACUAUAACGGUCCUAAGGUAGCGAAAUUCCUUGUCGGGUAAGUUCCGACCCGCACGAAAGGCGCAACGAUCUGGGCACUGUCUCAACGAGAGACUCGGUGAAAUUAUAGUACCUGUGAAGAUGCAGGUUACCCGCGACAGGACGGAAAGACCCCGUGGAGCUUUACUGCAGCCUGAUAUUGAAUGUUGGUACAGCUUGUACAGGAUAGGUAGGAGCCUUGGAAACCGGAGCGCCAGCUUCGGUGGAGGCAUCGGUGGGAUACUACCCUGGCUGUAUUGACCUUCUAACCCGCCGCCCUUAUCGGGCGGGGAGACAGUGUCAGGUGGGCAGUUUGACUGGGGCGGUCGCCUCCUAAAAGGUAACGGAGGCGCCCAAAGGUUCCCUCAGAAUGGUUGGAAAUCAUUCGCAGAGUGUAAAGGCACAAGGGAGCUUGACUGCGAGACCUACAAGUCGAGCAGGGACGAAAGUCGGGCUUAGUGAUCCGGUGGUUCCGCAUGGAAGGGCCAUCGCUCAACGGAUAAAAGCUACCCCGGGGAUAACAGGCUUAUCUCCCCCAAGAGUCCACAUCGACGGGGAGGUUUGGCACCUCGAUGUCGGCUCAUCGCAUCCUGGGGCUGUAGUCGGUCCCAAGGGUUGGGCUGUUCGCCCAUUAAAGCGGUACGCGAGCUGGGUUCAGAACGUCGUGAGACAGUUCGGUCCCUAUCCGUCGCGGGCGCAGGAAAUUUGAGAGGAGCUGUCCUUAGUACGAGAGGACCGGGAUGGACGCACCGCUGGUGUACCAGUUGUUCUGCCAAGGGCAUCGCUGGGUAGCUAUGUGCGGACGGGAUAAGUGCUGAAAGCAUCUAAGCAUGAAGCCCCCCUCAAGAUGAGAUUUCCCAUUCCGCAAGGAAGUAAGAUCCCUGAAAGAUGAUCAGGUUGAUAGGUCUGAGGUGGAAGUGUGGCGACACAUGGAGCUGACAGAUACUAAUCGAUCGAGGACUUAACCAA
RNAcentral lists this ribosomal RNA (2928 nucleotides) under Bacillus velezensis. RNAcentral describes it as "23S ribosomal RNA". It matches the Rfam family "Bacterial large subunit ribosomal RNA". Lineage: Bacteria; Bacillati; Bacillota; Bacilli; Caryophanales; Bacillaceae. The record is from RNAcentral.